CCUUCACGUGGAGAUUUUGAAAGUGGGUGGCCUCCGCGAUGGCUUCAGAAUGACCUUCUCUCAAUCUGUGAAGCUCGUCUUCCAUCUUCUUUGAUUUCUUUGUCCAGUGAAGGACUUCCUUCUUCAGCCGCUGGAUCGUCGACUUCAGCGGGAUCCCCAGGGGUAGGGGAAGUGCUUCUACAGGACACUGCCAUCGGAGGGCAAAAGCAUCAAAACACGACUCAUCGCAGGAAGAAAAGCAGAGAGAAGAAGGG
Molecule: long non-coding RNA, 254 nt
Filed under: Elaeis guineensis (African oil palm)
Lineage: Eukaryota; Viridiplantae; Streptophyta; Magnoliopsida; Arecales; Arecaceae
Description: long non-coding RNA (EGUI_LNC029207)
Source: RNAcentral